Molecule: ribosomal RNA, 340 nt
Filed under: Bacillus pumilus
Lineage: Bacteria; Bacillati; Bacillota; Bacilli; Caryophanales; Bacillaceae
Description: bacterial SSU rRNA
Rfam family: Bacterial small subunit ribosomal RNA
Source: RNAcentral
UAUUACUGGAGGAAGGUGGGGAUGACGUCAAAUCAUCAUGCCCCUUAUGACCUGGGCUACACACGUGCUACAAUGGACAGAACAAAGGGCUGCGAGACCGCAAGGUUUAGCCAAUCCCAUAAAUCUGUUCUCAGUUCGGAUCGCAGUCUGCAACUCGACUGCGUGAAGCUGGAAUCGCUAGUAAUCGCGGAUCAGCAUGCCGCGGUGAAUACGUUCCCGGGCCUUGUACACACCGCCCGUCACACCACGAGAGUUUGUAACACCCGAAGUCGGUGAGGUAACCUUUAUGGAGCCAGCCGCCGAAGGUGGGACAGAUGAUUGGGGUGAAGUCGAAGCAGGC